Molecule: ribosomal RNA, 253 nt
Filed under: uncultured bacterium
Lineage: Bacteria
Description: partial 16S ribosomal RNA
Rfam family: Bacterial small subunit ribosomal RNA
Source: RNAcentral
UACGUAGGGGGCAAGCGUUGUCCGGAUUUAUUGGGCGUAAAGAGCGUGUAGGCGGCCAGAUAGGUCAGCUGUGAAAACUCGAGGCUCAACCUCGAGACGUCGGUUGAAACCAUCUGGCUAGAGUCCGGAAGAGGAGAGUGGAAUUCCCGGUGUAGCGGUGAAAUUCGUAGAUAUCGGGAGGAACACCGGUGGCGAAGGCGGCGACCUGGGUCGAUACUGACGCUGAGGUGCGAAAGCGUGGGGAGCAAACAGG